CAGAGCCUAAAAACUCUCAAACCCACUGUUAAUUAUACCUUUUUUGUUGCUUUGGCGGGCAGUCCCAGGGCGGGGCCUUGCCUGUAUUUUUUGCAGGUGUCCGCCGAAAGCACCCCUAAAAUUCUUUUUUUUAUGGCUGUCUGAGUUUUAAAAAAAAAUUAAGUCA
This 166-nucleotide unclassified non-coding RNA is filed under the name soil metagenome. Its description in RNAcentral is "partial internal transcribed spacer 1". The record is from RNAcentral.